Long non-coding RNA from Phyllostomus hastatus (greater spear-nosed bat), 375 nucleotides. RefSeq lists it as uncharacterized. The transcript is spliced from 3 exons. The record is from RefSeq and is a predicted model, not a curated record. Lineage: Eukaryota; Metazoa; Chordata; Mammalia; Chiroptera; Phyllostomidae.
CUCAUUGUUUGCUAAAGCUGAACUCAAAGCAACAUCGACCAUGAGACUGUCCCUGUGUGUCCUGCUGGUCACUCUGGCCCUUUGCAGCUAUGAGGCAAAUGCAAAAGUCUGUCCAGCUUUUGUAUCUGAAUUGAGGAGCUUCUUUUUGUAUCCUGAAAAGCUCUACAACAUCAAUCUUCUGAGAUUUCUUGCACCUAGAGAAUAUCGUGAAGCCAAGGUGAAAGUGAAGCAAUGCAUAGAUCUUAUGCCCAAAGGAGACAGACAAAACAUUUUCAAUGUUUUGAAAGGUGUAGUGUCCCAAUGUAACAACUAGACUUUAAAUAUCUUACGCACGAGAGCCUCUGUCAUUCAAGGAUGGCUUGAUCACCCCUGGAA